RNAcentral lists this ribosomal RNA (465 nucleotides) under uncultured bacterium. Its description in RNAcentral is "partial 16S ribosomal RNA". It matches the Rfam family "Bacterial small subunit ribosomal RNA", at positions 339 to 795 of the family's 1533-position model. The record is from RNAcentral.
CUACGGGUCGCUGCAGUGAGGAAUUUUGCGCAAUGGGGGUAACCCUGACGCAGCAACGCCGCGUGAGUGAUGAAGGCUUUCGGGUCGUAAAGCUCUGUCAAGUGGGAAGAAUAUACGAAAUGCUGAUACCAUUUUGUACUGACGGUACCACUGAAGGAAGCACCGGCUAACUCCGUGCCAGCAGCCGCGGUAAUACGGGGGGUGCAAGCGUUAUUCGGAAUUAUUGGGCGUAAAGAGCACGUAGGCGGCCGCUUAAGUCAGAUGUGAAAGCCCGGGGCUCAACCCCGGAAGUGCAUUUGAAACUAAGUGGCUUGAGUAUGGGAGAGGGAAGUGGAAUUCCUGGUGUAGAGGUGAAGUUCGUAGAUAUCAGGAGGAACACCGGUGGCGAAGGCGACUUCCUGGACCAAUACUGACGCUGAGGUGCGAAGGCGUGGGGAGCAAACAGGAUUAGAUACCCGGGUAGUC